GCGCGGAUGGCGGAAUUGGUAGACGCGCUAGCUUGAGGUGCUAGUGGGUAACACCGUGGGGGUUCGAGUCCCCCUUCGCGCA
Molecule: transfer RNA, 82 nt
Filed under: Deltaproteobacteria bacterium
Lineage: Bacteria; Pseudomonadati; Myxococcota; Myxococcia
Also listed under: 10 other names
Description: tRNA-Leu
Rfam family: tRNA
About the family: Transfer RNA (tRNA) molecules are approximately 80 nucleotides in length. Their secondary structure includes four short double-helical elements and three loops (D, anti-codon, and T loops).
Source: RNAcentral